GACGAACGCUGGCGGCGUGCCUAAUACAUGCAAGUCGAGCGGACGGAUGGGAGCUUGCUCCCAGACCGUCAGCGGCGGACGGGUGAGUAACCCGUGGGCAACCUGCCUGUAAGACUGGGAUAACUCCGGGAAACCGGGGCUAAUACCGGAUAACUCUUUCCCUCACAUGAGGGAAAGCUGAAAGAUGGCAUCUCGCUAUCACUUACAGCUGGGCCCGCGGCGCAUUAGCUAGUUGGUGAGGUAACGGCUCACCAAGGCGACGAUGCAUAGCCGACCUGAGAGGGUGAUCGGCCACACUGGAACUGAGACACGGCCCAGACUCCUACGGGAGGCAGCAGUAGGGAAUCUUCCGCAAUGGGCGAAAGUCUGACGGAGCAACGCCGCGUGAGUGAUGAAGGUUUUCGGAUCGUAAAACUCUGUUGUCAGGGAAGAACAAGUGCCGGAGUAACUGCCGGUACCUUGACGGUACCUGACCAGAAAGCCACGGCUAACUACGUG
Molecule: ribosomal RNA, 498 nt
Filed under: uncultured bacterium
Lineage: Bacteria
Description: partial 16S ribosomal RNA
Rfam family: Bacterial small subunit ribosomal RNA
Source: RNAcentral